AUACGGAGGAUGCAAGCCUUAUCCGGAUUUAUUGGGUUUAAAGGGUGCGUAGGCGGUUUGCUAAGCGGGAGGUGAAAUGCCGGCGCUCAACGUCGGAAGUGCCUCCCGAACUGGUGGACUUGAAUGACUCUGCCGUGGGAGGAAUGUGUAGUGUAGCGGUGAAAUGCUUAGAGAUUACACAGAACACCGAUUGCGAAGGCAUCUCACGAAGGGUUGAUUGACGCUGAGGCACGAAAGCGUGGGGAUCAAACAGGAUUAGAUACCCUGGUAGUCCACGCAGUAAACGAUGAUGGCUAACCGCUGGGCUUAUCAGUUCAGUGGCCAAGCGAAAGCGAUAAGCCAUCCACCUGGGGAGUACGACCGCAAGGUUGAAACUCAAAUGAAUUGACGGGG
This 393-nucleotide ribosomal RNA is filed under the name uncultured bacterium. RNAcentral describes it as "partial 16S ribosomal RNA". It matches the Rfam family "Bacterial small subunit ribosomal RNA", at positions 523 to 918 of the family's 1533-position model. The record is from RNAcentral.